GCGCCCGUAGUUUAAUGGAUAAAACGUAGGGUUGCGGACCCUAAAACUGCAGGUUCGAUUCCUGCCGGGCGCA
RNAcentral lists this transfer RNA (73 nucleotides) under Candidatus Staskawiczbacteria bacterium. RNAcentral describes it as "tRNA-Arg". It matches the Rfam family "tRNA". From Rfam's summary of the family: Transfer RNA (tRNA) molecules are approximately 80 nucleotides in length. Their secondary structure includes four short double-helical elements and three loops (D, anti-codon, and T loops). The record is from RNAcentral. Lineage: Bacteria; Candidatus Staskawicziibacteriota.